AAGUCGUAACAAGGUCUCCGUUGGUGAACCAGCGGAGGGAUCAUUAUAGAGUUGUAAAACUCCCUAAAACCCAUGUGAACAUACCUGUUGCCUCGGCGGGCCUACCCCGUAGCUACCCCGUAGCUGCCCGGGAGUGACCGCCGAAGGACCACCAAACUCUUUCAUCUCUGUAUCUCUGAGAAAAAAAACAAAUAAGUUAAAACUUUCAACAACGGAUCUCUUGGUUCUGGCAUCGAUGAAGAACGCAGCGAAAUGCGAUAAGUAAUGUGAAUUGCAGAAUUCAGUGAAUCAUCGAAUCUUUGAACGCACAUUGCGCCCAUUAGUAUUCUAGUGGGCAUGCCUGUUCGAGCGUCAUUUAGUCCACUUAAGCCCUUUGCUUAGUAUUGGGAAUCUACUCCUACCCUGUAGCUGUAGUUCCUCAAAGACAGCGGCGGAGUCGUGGUUUUGCUCUGAGCUUAGUAAUUCUUUUCUAGCUUUCGAGUCGCCACUGCCCCCUUUGCCGUAAAACACCCUUUAUUUUUUAAUGGUUGACCUCGGAUCAGGUAGGAAUACCCGCUGAACUUAAGCAUAUCAAUAAGCGGAGGAAAAGAAACCAACAGGGAUUGCCCCAGUAACGGCGAGUGAAGCGGCAACAGCUCAAAUUUGAAAUCUGGCCUUCUGGUCCGAGUUGUAAUUUGUAGAAGAUGCUUUUGGUGCGGUGCCUUCCGAGUUCCCUGGAACGGGACGCCUUAGAGGGUGAGAGCCCCGUACGGUUGGACGCCUAGCCUCUGUAAAGCUCUUUCAACGAGUCGAGUAGUUUGGGAAUGCUGCUCAGAAUGGGAGGUAAAUUUCUUCUAAAGCUAAAUAUUGGCCAGAGACCGAUAGCGCACAAGUAGAGUGAUCGAAAGAUGAAAAGCACUUUGAAAAGAGGGUUAAAUAGCACGUGAAAUUGUUGAAAGGGAAGGACUUAUGACCAGACUUUUUCCUAGCGAAUCAUCCGGCGUUCUCGCCGGUGCACUUCUCUAAGUUUAGGCCAGCAUCGGUUUCUGUAGGGGGAUAAAAACUUUAGGAAUGUAGCUCCCCCGGGAGUGUUAUAGCCUUUUGUAUAAUACCCUUCUAGGGACCGAGGUACGCGCUUCUGCAAGGAUGCUGGCGUAAUGGUCAUCAGUCACC
RNAcentral lists this ribosomal RNA (1152 nucleotides) under uncultured fungus. RNAcentral's name for it is "eukaryotic LSU rRNA". The stretch from base 529 to 1152 matches the Rfam family "Eukaryotic large subunit ribosomal RNA", at positions 1 to 649 of the family's 3401-position model. Lineage: Eukaryota; Fungi. The record is from RNAcentral.